AUGACACGACAAAGCAACAUCCGUCCGGGUUUGAUGUCUGCUUUGGAAAGGACCGCAGCUGGAACCAUGGGAUCUCAUCGUGACACAGCUGUUCGUGAUUUCACGGUGAUGUCUGAGUGCUUGGAGCUCCAGGUCUUCAAAGCCGCCAGCUCUGACAAUUCUGUGCUCCGCUCUUUGCUCCUUGAGCAUACACAAGGCUUCUGUCUGCCGUCUGAAUCUUCUCUUUCAGAAAUAGCAAUACGAUAUUUGAUGAUGCGUCACUACCAGGAUGCCAUUGGGCUCUUUGCCAACAUCCUCCUCUACAUCCAGAGGACCAUGAGCAUGUUCCAAAGGACCACGUACGAAUAUGAGAUGAUUAACAAGCAGAACGAGCGGACGCACGCACUGCUGGCCAUCGCUCUCACCAGGUAGCCCAUGCGUAGUGACGAGAGCGUUCACCUCUAACUGUGGGAGAAGCAUGGGGACAAGAUGCUGCGCACGCAGAAAGGUGACCCGCAGGUCUACGGGGAACCCUUCAGCUACUCCUGCCCCAAAUUCCUGUCACCAACCAUGACAAUUCCACAAGGAGCCUUUCCGGCAGCAGCUGAAGGUGUUUCCCCAACGAGGUGCAGCAAUUGACCCAGCUUUCAACUGUCUCCAGCUCCCUCCAGCUCUCCACCACCAUGCCUGUGGCCAAGCUGGCCGGCUUCCUGGACCUCACAGAGCAGGAGUUCAGAAUCCAGCUUCUUGUCUUCAAACACAAAAUGAAAAACCUGGUGGGGACCAGUAGCAUCUCCGCCCUAGACGGCAAAUUUCAGUUGGCCUCCGAAGUUGACUUCUACAUCGAUAAAGACAUGAUCCACGUCACAGACUCGCCAGGCCUGUAGGGAUUUCUUCAUCCGGCAGAGUCACAAUUUUGAAGAGCUCAGCUGAAUUCUGAAGAAGAUGGGACAGAGACUCUGA
Vicugna pacos (alpaca) is the source of this 942-nucleotide RNA transcript. It is a transcript of the gene named eukaryotic translation initiation factor 3 subunit L pseudogene, with no coding region annotated. The record is from RefSeq and is a predicted model, not a curated record. NCBI's taxonomy places the organism in Eukaryota, Metazoa, Chordata, Mammalia, Artiodactyla, Camelidae.